RNAcentral lists this long non-coding RNA (457 nucleotides) under Homo sapiens (human). Its description in RNAcentral is "novel transcript, antisense to MYH14". Lineage: Eukaryota; Metazoa; Chordata; Mammalia; Primates; Hominidae. The record is from RNAcentral.
CCAGUCGGGUUGGAGUUUAUUUCUGCCAGAGCCUGGAGGCUGGGAGGGUAAAGGACACUCCUUUAGUCCCAGAGGGAAGCUCCGAACCCUCAGAGCAACCAGAAGGGAGGGCAGAGCAUGGGCAGCAGCAGGAGUGAGAGGGGUCCCCUUGUCCUGCCCCUUUGCAAGGGUUCAAGGCUGGUGGAGGCCUGGGGCUUCUGUCGCUCAGGAGUUCAGGGGUGGACGCAGAAAUGGGGGAAGGAGAGUGGCUACGUAGAGAGUGAGAGCGAGAUUCCUAAAAAGAUGCACAGAGAGACCCUCAGAGAGAAGCAGAGGGAAUGGGUUGCACUGGCUGAGGAUGGUGGAGGAGCCGUCUCACUCCCUUCCUAAUGUCUAUAGAUCAAUAACGAGGGAAGAAAGGAGGACAGGGAGCUGAUGGAAACACAGCUUGCCAACUGUACCCAGUCCCCCAACAAGC